GGCCGCAGAAGAAAUCGACGGCUCAUCACAGGAAGACGAGGCCGAAGAAGACGCAGCCUUGGGACAUUAAGAGGAAGCCCACCGUUUACGCUCCUCUUCCUCCUCUCCCGCCGGAUUGGUCUCCUCUCGCUCUUUCUUCCGACGACGCACACAAAUCACCUUUUUUUUUCUUCCCGUCUCACUCUUGUGUUUUUUCUUCGUGUUUGAUUCUUCCUCUUCGAAUCAUCGUCUUCGAUUUUUCCUCUUCGAGUCCUCGUCUUCGAUUCUUCCUCUUCGUGUUCGAUUCUUCUUCCUCGUCUUCGUUCUUCUUCAAUUUUUUUUCGAUUCUUCACCAACUUCUGAUUUCAUCAUCUCUUAAGAUUUGAUUUUUCGUGAUUUGUGUUAUGGGUUUUCACUAUUAGCUACUGAUUCGUAUCAUCUACUAAUAUUGUGUUAUGGUUUAUGUGUUAAAUAGAUCGGUGAUUUGUGUUCAUAACGAAGUUGGUGGCGAGUCUGGCGACUGUUUCUGUUUCCGCAAGUCAGACGAAAUUACGAAUUUUUUAAACUUAUCUUGAAUUUUUUAUAACUUUGAAACAUGAAGUUUAAAACUUAAAGUUUAAGUAUGUGACAUCUUUAAAAUUGAAAACUUAAUAAUCUUUAAAUUUUUAAAACUGAAAUUAUGUUGUUUACAUUAAAUGGGCGUAUGGGCCGCCCAUGGAUAGCCCAACAAAUCAUGGUCUUAUUUGGUUAUGGUCGCAUUUGGACAUGGUUCUAUUUGGGCUUCGACCAAAAAUAUCCAGCAAAAAAAUGAAACCCAUUCGGACACACCCAAACCCGCCCAACCCGCCCAUUUGACAUCUCUAAAUGCUUUCAUCAUCCAAUACUUCGGGGUAAUAUCUCACUAUCAAAUUGGAGGAAGAAGAAUCAAAACGGCUUUAGUAUGUUACCUCAGGGGAGAGUUUCUUGGGCUGCUGCAAUGAUGUGUAUUGGGUUACUAUGUAGCUUAUUCUGAGGAUCCAUAUAGCCAUAACUCUUACAACACAAUUCCAAAACAUAUUAUGCGACAAGAUAUAGAAAAGACAAAAAGACUAGCUGAGUGCGAGAGAAAGAACAUGAAAUAACAUACACAAGAACAUAUCAAAUUAAUACAAGAAAAUACCUUUUUAUUGCUUUUCAAUUUCACUGUGGCUUUUUCAAGCUUGAGAGUGGAUGUUCUUCAGCUUCCUAUGCAAAAUGCACUUAGAGAAAGAAUGUACAUACAUAAGUGAAACGACGACUGAUUCAAUUCUCAUCCUAACUCUACUUUACUUUCUUUCCCUCAGUUUUCAUUGUCUAUAUCUGAAUGCAUAAACAAUCAAAAUAGCAAUAGAAGAGAGAGGGAUAACUUCUGAUUUAGUCACAGCCAUUUAGGAGAUAAUUUUUUAUACAACAAUAGAAAGAUGAAUUUAGUCUUUUACAAGAUUGUGGACUACAUCAGUACAUGAACACAAAUCUAUAAAUGGAACUGACAAAGGUAGGAUUCUGCAAUAAGAUCAGAGAAGGCACAACUUAUAAAAGUGGCAAAACAAGUAAAAUGAGGACAAAACCAUGACUAAAAACAAAGUGAAACUUGGGGGUCGUUAAUGGCCCAAGUGACCACGCCCGCCACAACUUUUACACAUAAUGUUACCACUUCCACCGCAACCUACAUCAAAACAAUCAAAUUGGUUAAUACAUAACAUUAUAUAACUUGAGCAACAUAAGAAGAAAGAAAAGCAUGAUAGGAGAAUUGACCUAAGCAACGGACUUUAACAAUGAUGCCUUGGCUCUCCAUAAUGGAGUCAACGUAUAGACCAGUUCCAGAGCAAGUGGCACAAAGCAAUGCACCUUUCGCUUCACAACAAAUGCAACGCUUAUUAUCACCAAUCUCUCUCUCGGACAUAGAUAAUCCAACUGGCUCAUCGAUGAUCUCUUCAGGUAUGGGCUUGUCGUAACAGAACAUUGACUCGAGACUGCUUAACUGUCUGUUCACAUCUCUUUUUACACAUGACUCAGCCUACAUAAUUUAAACAAACAAUGAUUCUUAUUAAUGCUAGUACUCGUAAUCAUCAUCAUCAUCAUCAAACAAGUCAUGACAUUUAGAAUCUGCAUCAUUUCAGAUGCAGAUAAUUUGAAAUAAUUUGAAAUUACUGAUGAUAUUAGUUAAUUCGUAAUCCAAAUUGAGUGUUCCACAUGAAUGAAACAUAAAUCUCAGCAGAAGGAGAGAUAUUAACCUUGAGAGACGAAGAAGGAGGAGGAAGAGAGCACACUUUUACGCGGGAACCGAAUAAUCUAGGAGAAGGAAUCACGCGUCGAGUUCUUCCGCCGAUAAAACUCGGUUUCGCCGGAAAAGCAAAAUCUAAAGCGGUAUUCAUCGUCGACGAGAGCGAGAUUUCGAAAUCGAAUAGAGAGAUGAAGAAGGUGAGUGAUGAUGAUUAGCUUUGGAACCAUCGCCGGUCAUAGGUCUUGUUGUUCGCAAUAACCGAACUAUACCGACAAUGGUAUCCGGUUAUCUAAAUCGAGCAUAUAUCGCUACUCGUAAUAUUAUUUAAACCGAACGAUAAUGGGCCGUUGUAAAUAUGGGCUAUAUCUUCUGGCCCAAUAGAACCUGCGAUAAAACGAAAACUUGGAGAAGAUAUGGUAGCUCCUUCUCUAAUCCGAAGCUAGAGGCUCUCAUACUCACUUCAACUGCAAGCAGAAAGAUAAGGCGAAACAAUGUCUGUGUCAGCGAUCUUUGGCACCGGAAUCGCCACAGUCGGUUGUUCCCCGGCUCUCCGCCAGUUUCAAGUUCCGAAACUGGGAAACGGAGGAGGAGUGGGAGGAGGAUUGGGGAUGGUGAUAGAGUGUUCGUCGAGGCCGCAGAAGAAAUCGACGGCUCAUCACAGGAAGACGAGGCCGAAGAAGACGCAGCCUUGGGACAUUAAGAGGAAGCCCACCGUUUACGCUCCUCUUCCUCCUCUCCCGCCGGAUUGGUCUCCUCUCGCUCUUUCUUCCGACGACGCUGGUGUCACUAGCGCCACCGCCGGGGAUUUGGUUUCAGGCGGUGCCGCCUAGUUAUGAG
RNAcentral lists this long non-coding RNA (3058 nucleotides) under Brassica napus (rape). Its description in RNAcentral is "long non-coding RNA (BNAP_LNC002052)". The record is from RNAcentral. Lineage: Eukaryota; Viridiplantae; Streptophyta; Magnoliopsida; Brassicales; Brassicaceae.